ACAGGCUUAACACAUGCAAGUCGAGGGGAAACGAUAUUGGAAGCUUGCUUCCGAUAGGCGUCGACCGGCGCACGGGUGAGUAACGCGUAUCCAACCUGCCCACCACUUGGGGAUAACCUUGCGAAAGUAAGACUAAUACCCAAUGACGUCUCUAGAAGACAUCUGGAAGAGAUUAAAGAUUUAUCGGUGAUGGAUAGGGAUGCGUCUGAUUAGCUUGUUGGCGGGGUAACGGCCCACCAAGGCAACGAUCAGUAGGGGUUCUGAGAGGAAGGUCCCCCACAUUGGAACUGAGACACGGUCCAAACUCCUACGGGAGGCAGCAGUGAGGAAUAUUGGUCAAUGGACGAGAGUCUGAACCAGCCA
RNAcentral lists this ribosomal RNA (363 nucleotides) under uncultured bacterium. RNAcentral describes it as "bacterial SSU rRNA". It matches the Rfam family "Bacterial small subunit ribosomal RNA", at positions 43 to 394 of the family's 1533-position model. The record is from RNAcentral.